This 488-nucleotide ribosomal RNA is filed under the name uncultured bacterium. RNAcentral's name for it is "partial 16S ribosomal RNA". It matches the Rfam family "Bacterial small subunit ribosomal RNA", at positions 899 to 1397 of the family's 1533-position model. The record is from RNAcentral.
ACUCAAAUGAAUUGACGGGGGCCCGCACAAGCAGCGGAGCGUGUGGUUUAAUUCGAGGCUACACGAAGAACCUUACCUGGGUUUGACAUGACGCUAGUAGGGAAGCGAAAGCAGACCGACCCGCAAGGGAGGCGCCACAGGUGCUGCAUGGCUGUCGUCAGCUCGUGCCGUGAGGUGUUAGGUUAAGUCCUGUAACGAGCGCAACCCCCGGAAGUAGUUACAAGUGGUCUACUUCGACUGCCCGUGACAAGCGGGAGGAAGGUGGGGACGACGUCAAGUCAGCAUGGCCUUUAUAUCCAGGGCUACACACACGCUACAAUGGCCGGUACAAUGGGUCGCCAAGCCGCAAGGCGGAGCUAAUCCAAUCAAAGCCGGUCACAGUUCGGAUUGUGGGCUGCAACCCGCCCACAUGAAGUCGGAGUUGCUAGUAACCGCAGGUCAGCUAUACUGCGGUGAAUACGUUCCCGGGCCUUGUACACACCGCCCGU